UACGUAGGUGGCGAGCGUUGUCCGGAAUUAUUGGGCGUAAAGCGCGCGCAGGUGGUUAUAUAAGUCUCAUUUAAAAGUGCUGAGCUCAACUCAGUGAUGGGUGAGAAACUGUAUGACUUGAGUGCAGGAGGGGUAGGCGGAAUUCCUAGUGUAGCGGUGAAAUGCGUAGAUAUUAGGAGGAACACCAGUGGCGAAGGCGGCCUACUGGACUGCAACUGACACUGAGGCGCGAAAGCCAGGGGAGCAAACGGGAUUAGAUACCCCGGUAGUCCUGGCGGUAAACGAUGGGUACUAGGUGUAGGCGUAGCGAUACGUCUGUGCCGCAGCUAACGCAAUAAGUACCCCGCCUGGGGAGUACGGCCGCAAGGUUG
RNAcentral lists this ribosomal RNA (371 nucleotides) under uncultured prokaryote. RNAcentral describes it as "bacterial SSU rRNA". It matches the Rfam family "Bacterial small subunit ribosomal RNA", at positions 524 to 896 of the family's 1533-position model. The record is from RNAcentral.